UACGUAGGGGGCAAGCGUUGUCCGGAUUUAUUGGGCGUAAAGAGCGUGUAGGCGGCCAGACAGGUCCGUUGUGAAAACUCGAGGCUCAACCUCGAGAUGUCGAUAGAAACCGUCUGGCUAGAGUCCGGAAGAGGAGUGUGGAAUUCCUGGUGUAGCGGUGAAAUGCGCAGAUAUCAGGAAGAACACCUAUGGCGAAGGCAGCACUCUGGGACGGUACUGACGCUGAGACGCGAAAGCGUGGGGAGCGAACAGG
RNAcentral lists this ribosomal RNA (253 nucleotides) under uncultured bacterium. RNAcentral's name for it is "partial 16S ribosomal RNA". It matches the Rfam family "Bacterial small subunit ribosomal RNA", at positions 524 to 776 of the family's 1533-position model. The record is from RNAcentral.